Molecule: long non-coding RNA, 467 nt
Organism: Glycine soja
Lineage: Eukaryota; Viridiplantae; Streptophyta; Magnoliopsida; Fabales; Fabaceae
Exons: 2
Source: RefSeq, a predicted model, not a curated record
GUGAUAAAAUUGGGACAGGUUUACCUUUACACUGUGCGUGUGGACUUUCCCAAAUCGAAGAAGUUGCAGGCAUGUAGACAAUGCUUGCGCAUGGCAGUGGGAGCGUGUAGCAUUUGACCUUAGCAGGCGGCGUUGCCGAGACGAGGAAGUUGUUAGGAUUAAGAAUGAACAUCCUGAUGAUAGCCUAUGUUGAUUGUUGUGAAUAUAUAUGAAGAUGAGUGAUGUUGAUAUCCACUACUAUUAUUAGAAGCAUUGGUUCUCAUAUCUAGGCACAACACUGUGAAAUAACCAAUAAGAAGAGCCUUCUUUUAAAUUCUACCAGGAUAGAAAAUUGUGAAAAUUGUAAUGUCAUGCAUGCCAUGAUCUAGUCAUCUAGACAUAAGUGUAAGAAUGAAUACGUUGAAAAUACUGGUACACGAAAAUAUGGAUAAUGAUAAUUCUUGGAUCCUUAAUUCUUAUGGACCUUA